This 214-nucleotide unclassified non-coding RNA is filed under the name soil metagenome. RNAcentral describes it as "partial contains 5.8S ribosomal RNA, internal transcribed spacer 2, and large subunit ribosomal RNA". The record is from RNAcentral.
AACCAUAGAAACCUGCGGAGUACCUGCGGAAGGAUCAUUACAAGUGACCCCGGUUUACCACCGGGAUGUUCAUAACCCUUUGUUGUCCGACUCUGUUGCCUCCGGGGCGACCCUGCCUUCGGGCGGGGGCUCCGGGUGGACACUUCAAACUCUUGCGUAACUUUGCAGUCUGAGUAAACUUAAUUAAUAAAUUAAAACUUUCAACAACGGAUCU